RNAcentral lists this ribosomal RNA (301 nucleotides) under uncultured bacterium. Its description in RNAcentral is "partial 16S ribosomal RNA". It matches the Rfam family "Bacterial small subunit ribosomal RNA", at positions 509 to 809 of the family's 1533-position model. The record is from RNAcentral.
CAGUCGCCGCGGGAAUACGAAGGGUGCAAGCGUUAAUCGGAAUUACUGGGCGUAAAGCGUGCGUAGGCGGUGAGUUAAGUCUGCUGUGAAAUCCCCGGGCUCAACCUGGGAAUGGCAGUGGAUACUGGCUCGCAAGAGUGUGUCAGAGGAUGGUGGAAUUCCCGGUGUAGCGGUGAAAUGCGUAGAGAUCGGGAGGAACAUCAGUGGCGAAGGCGGCCAUCUGGGACAACACUGACGCUGAGGCACGAAAGCGUGGGGAGCAAACAGGAUUAGAUACCCCAGUAGUCCCUGUCUCUUAUAA